Long non-coding RNA from Camelus dromedarius (Arabian camel), 5791 nucleotides. RefSeq lists it as uncharacterized. The record is from RefSeq and is a predicted model, not a curated record. NCBI's taxonomy places the organism in Eukaryota, Metazoa, Chordata, Mammalia, Artiodactyla, Camelidae. The transcript has 7 exons.
CGCCGCUGCGGCCGCCGCCGUAGCCGUAGCCGCCGCCGCCGGAACUAGAGUGAGGGUCACGUUCCGUUAACGCUAACGUUGGAAAGCGAUUUUAUUGAGCCUCUGCAGAAUUCCCUGGGUAUACAAAGGUGACUAAGACAAUUCUGGCCAUCAAGGAGUUUACAGUCUACUUGGAGAGGCAAACAAACCAACCCACGAAUCAGAGGUCUCAGCCUUUCUGUGGUUUGUUCUGCUAAGACCUCAUGUUGCCCUCCCGUCGGGUUCAGCUGGAUAUUCAGGUCAACUCCUGGACCAUCUUGAUUUCUACGUUGACUUCAACAUGAGGUUGAAGACAAUAGAACUGGAAUUCAGAUGGUGGUUUCUUCUGUAGCUACUGCAUCACCUGAAACGCACAGAUUGAGAGCCAUGCGGGUUACCAGGAGCUCCUGGGCGUCCUACCUGCUCAUGACGCUUCUUCAUAAGGAUGAGCUCUUUCCUCAUCCCCUCCACCUCCUGUUCCAAGUCUGUUGUGACGAUGGUCAGGUCAUCCAAGGCCUUCCGGAGACCCUCAACUUCAGUUUCCAAGUCUUUCUUGAAGGAGUGUUCAUUUUCAUACCUUUGGGUAGAAGGGAGAGCAGAGUACACCUGCUGUUGGAAGGCCACGGCCUUGUAAGGAGUCACCUUAGUUUAGAGGUGAAUCUCUUACUUUUUACAUUUAAUAGGAGCAAAUGAAUACAGGCUGUGCACCCUUUGUAUGUCUGUUUCAUGCAGGUUUUUCUAUGAUGGUGACUCAAUUUUUUUUUAAUUACAGAGAAUGAAAUAAUAAACAGCCAUAUACCCAUCACUUAGAAUUAGCAACCAUUAACAUUUUGCCAUAUUUGCUUCAUCUAUAUUUUGUAUUUUACAGUAUAUUAUAGACAUUAUGACAUUUUACCCCUAAGUACUUCCGAAUGUAUUUUUUAAGAAAAAGACAGUUUUCUAAAUAAGCAUAAUAACAUUAUCACACCUGAAAAAAUCAAUAAUAAACUCUUCAAUACCAUCUAAUUCUUGGUGCAUAUUCAAAUUUCCCCACACCAAAAAGUGUAUUUUGCAUCUGGUUUGUUUAUACAAGGGUCCAGUCAGGUAUUAGUUCCUGUUAUGCCUUUUAAUUGUAUUUUGGUAGGAUUUUACAUGUUGGUAGUGGAGAGAUAAGUUUUCCUUCUAUAAAACAGAAACAAAAGCAGUAGUAACCCCCAAAACAAAAUAGAACAAAACACCAAACAACCCCCCCGCCUUCCCCAACACUGUGAAGAAGGAACUCACUUAAGACUGAAGUUGUCCACCGCCAUCCUGGCGUUGUCAAUGAGCAGGAUGAUCUGAGCAUUCGUCAUCUUGCCAUCUGCUAUCUGUAAAACAGGCACCGGGAGUCAUUUCGGUCGUACAAACCACACAGGAGCGCUGUAUUGCUGCCCAGCUCCUGGGAAGCUGACUUGUCAGCCUAGAUGACGUCUUCUUCUAGCAGUGGAAUAACGAGUAAUAAAAUCCAGUUGUUGUGAGAGUUAAAUCAGUUGAUAUAGAACAUUUCCAUCAGAAAUGUUCGCGGACAGUGCAGAUAAGUGGAUUAAAUACCCAUCACGAUGCCUGGCAUACAGUAAGUACUCAAUAAAUGUUUCCCUUCCUUUCCCUUCUUCACCCUCCUGUCAGCUAAUAAAUUAUGUGAAUAGGUCUAACCUGACAUUUCUUUAGGGAGUUACGUUCUCAGCUUCCCAUUUGCAAAAAUCUUCUAGUCUCUCCAUUCUAAAACCAAAACGACUUUAUUAAUAAAAACAGCGUGGUGAGGUUUGUUGAAUCACUUUGUUUUUUUUUGGUAAAGACAAACAUGUACUAUAUAGUUAAGGCAAUUACACACUCAGUUAUUAGGUUGAUUAUUCAAUAAUUAGGGUUCAUUAUAAGGACAGAUUUCUAUUAUCUUGAUUGGUCCUUCCUAUAUUCAAGCCUGGACAACUGAAUGCUGAGAAAUAAUACCAUAUAAAUACUGGAAACCUGUGAUGCCCUUUCUUGGAUAUGUUAAGUAAGAUCUUACAGGAAAUUUUCUGAGACCACUUUACAUAAGAGGGAAUUUAUGUAGCUUUAAAAUAUAACCUAAAAGGUGACUGGAUUCCCUCUGCUUCUAACCAGUGUUAUGAGGGUGUAGUUUUUUUUUUUUUUUAAUGUAUGUCCCAGAAAGAUUAGCUUUUUUAAUGUUGAAAAGUAUUUUUUUGAAGAAUUCUCCCUAAUCCAGCCUAACUCUAAGAUUCCAAAAAUUAUCCCCAUUUUAUAAUGUAUUUUCCUAGCAACACGCCAUCUUCAGAACUGGGAGCAGCUAGAAUUCAGAACUUCUAGCAGCUCCCAAGAGGCAAUAUCCAGGGAUAUCACAAUGAUGUAUCUGCUAGUGGAGUGACAGCUUUUAGGUGUGAUCUCUGAAAUAGUACAAUUCAGCCUUUCUUUGAUGGCUGAUCACCCUGUCGCCAGGACUUUGAGGUGGAGAGGAACUGAUGUCAUGAGAAAGUAAAUGCUCCCUUGUGCCUUGUGCACUAAGCAUGAGGCAUAAAAACGCACCCUGAUCAUUACAAUCGUGUCAUUGGAUCAUAAGUGAUUCCGACAGCAGCUGGUUGCCUUACGUUGUUUAGACUUUUCUAUAUAAUUUAUGUAUAAAGAUUAUUAUACCAAACAUUAUUGGUAUUAUUAUACCAAGUCCAAAUUUAAGGUAUGAUAUGAAAAUAUCUUUGAAUACCUUUGUUCAUGAUGACUUGAAGCUCUUUUGCCAUUUUCCUGGAAAUUGUCUUUGUACUGAUUUCUCCUCCCACUAACCCCUAGAAACGCAGCCCCCUCUGGAGUUCCAGGAUCAGCCGGGAUCUUACCUGCUCCUGCAGGCGGCUGAUGUUGUCCUCAUAUUGGGAGUAAUCUUGCUUACUGCCCGGAUCUCUCUGCUGAUGCCACUUGAAGAUGCAACUUUCGAGUUUCGUGUUGGCCUCCUCCAGGGCGCGCACCUUGUCCAGUUCUUAUGACAACCUAUGGAAUGGGAGAAAAUUUUUGCAGAUGAAACCGACAAAGGCUUGAUCUCCAGAAUAUGUAAGCAGCUCAUACAACUUAACGAGAAGCAAACAACCCCAUCGAAAAAUGGCCAGAAGACCUAAACAAGCAAUUCUCCAAGGAAGAAAUACAAAUGAUCAAUAGGCACAUGAAAAAAUGCUCAAUAUCACUAAUUAUCAGAGAAAUGCAAAUCAAAAGCUACAGUGAGGUAUCACCUUGCACCAGUCAGAAUGGCCGUCAUUCAAAAGUCCACAAACGACAAAUGCUGGAGAGGCUGUGGAGAAAGGGGAACCCUCCUUCACUGCUGGUGGGAAUGCAGAGCCAAAGAAGGAGUUUAGAAGGGACGGUUGUAGCUUUUCCCCUUCAUGUGUCAUGGCCAAAAACAAUUCUCGAACUUGUCUGACUGGCUCUAAUGAGGAACAUAAGUCAACAAGGCCUGAAUAAACACAAGGAAAACCUGCCCAUCACCUGUGGAAUCAGGUAAUGUAGGUCACCUUCUUGCGCACUUACACAUCAGUGCUGACCCUCUGAUACAUGGGAAAUGUGCUUCCAGAGAAGUGUCAUUUAUUAUCACGUUGGCAGCAGCGACUCAGGACAGAAGCAGAAUAAAAGAUAGUCUGUCUAGCAAUGGGGACCCCAUGUAGUAGCAAGAAACUAAGUACCUUAAGGGCCUGGGGAGUUCUUAAACCUUUCUGGCCGGAGCAAGUACUGGCCUCUCUUUCAUGAUUGAGGGUCCUUUUUUUAUCACCUCGGGAUGUCAGAGUUUGGCAGUUCUGGUGAUGAAGCAAGGCUGCACAUGCUCGUAAGAAGAAAUGACUUUCCCAUCCUUGAUCUCCUUGGUGAUGGUGCAGAUUUUCACCAGAAUUCGGGGCAGCGUUCUGCAGUCACCACAGGACUCCUGUAUCCCAUGGGGGGCUGAGGAUGAUGUGCAAACUGGGGCUGUGCAUUCCGUGGCUCUGGCCUUACUGGAUGUGCAAAUGGAAGGCUCACAUUUGGUGGCACAUGGGUGACAGGGAAGCCUAGGGGGGAAAAAUGCAGAAUUUUACCUGUGAUUGAGGGAAGGCAACAAUGACUAUGGAGAAAAACAGCAGUGGUUCAUUUUUCAACACGUGUCACUCAAAACAAGUGCUUCCUAACGCUUGUUCAUUCAUCCUGUACCUUAGUGGAAGGAAAAAAAUCAGACCUGAUCCAUGGGAAAGCUGCAUCCUAGGUUUAGAAGGACUAGGUUAUGUAAGCUGCCAUUAUAGCCAAUGCCAUAGCAUUGGACGAACAAGCCGGGAGUCAGAGGCUGGGAUGGAGCCCAGCUCUGUCAUUUGCCAGCUGGUGACCUCACAGAAGUCAGUUAACCCUCCCAAGUUUUAGUUUUUCAUCUGCAGAAUGGAUUAAGGGGGACUCAACAGUGAUAAGGGACAAGUUCAAGAGCUUAACUAUCUGAGGAAGGAAGCUAAACAGGUGUUGUUCUUCAUCAGAUAAUUAGUCAUAAUACUUCUGGUGGCCUGAUUCCCGUCUAGGGAAGAGUCCUCAGCACUUCAUCAGAAGCACUUGAAGUGCCUCUGUGCACCUAAAAAUGAAUAAUCCUUAGAGAAUUGGAGUUAGGAGUUAACAGUAAGAACUCUUUUUAGAAAACAGCAUCUUUCUUUGAUGAUUCAAGGCACUUUGGAAUAUUGUAGCUCCUCCGGGCGAUCGCACAGGUUAACAGUGUGUGAACAGAGUUCACUAAGUGUUUUGGGGAGGGAAACAAUUAGUGGGGAGCAGACCUAGUUAGCAAUUGUAACUAGGUCUGCAUUUGAAGUGUUAGUUUGGUCUGAGUUGCUUCAAAGAGCUUCUGCUCUAUUCCUUAUGGAUUGGUAACUUAUUAUUUCAAAAAAUACAACUUCCAUAAAAAAAAUGCUGAAACACAUAUGUACACAUUGUUGGCCUCUAAGGACAAGUGGCUGGAAAAGGUUAAGGGUUUAAGCCUGAGCAGAACGUCCUUCAAAGACAGCAGGGUAUUCUCGUUCAAUCUCAUGGAAGUCAGAAGUUCAUGUCAGUGGGAGGAAAUCUGUAAAUCACCAGGAAUGUUCAUCUUUGGGGAAACCAUUCUUUUCCUAGUAAUUUUUAAAACUCUAAGAAGCUAGCUAACCUAUAAGGGGUUAAUCUGGAGCACUGGUUAUUCAAAACGACUCGGAUCAGCUAACCAGUCCAGUUUGGUCUAGGUUAUGAUUGUAGGUGUCCAAACGGCACAGCUUGCGAGGCCCUUCCAGCGUCUUCCAGCCACAGCUCCCGCUCACUGGCAAGAAGCGCCAGCACUUGCCCCCUGUUGUCAGUACAUACAUGUGCGUGCUUGAGCCUCUGUCUCAUAGAAGCUGCUUUUAUUUUACGUACUUGCCAUCCGAGCUCUCCAGAAGACUGCGGUAUGUGCUAAUCUCACACUCCAGCCGGGACCUGACGUCCAGCAGAAUCUCAUAUUCUUGGUUCUGUCUUUCCAGGGCACCCCGGAUCUCUGCCAGCUGAGCCUCUAGGUAAUCGAUCAGACACUGGAUCUGGGCCAACAAGGCUGAGUAGCGGGCCUCCGUCUCUGCCAGGGCACGUUCCUGGGAGUCUCUCUACCAUGGGGGAAGGAAGGGGGAUUUAUAACAAUGACUCUUUUAAGCCCAGAUCACUUGUGAUCUGUAUCAUUUGAAACAAUGGUUUCUUUGUGACAGGUACUAAUGAAUCUCCAAACCCUCUUAUUGCUUCCUAACCAAAUAAAUCCAAAAAUAAAAUUACCAACUAUGCUAAA